Molecule: ribosomal RNA, 465 nt
Filed under: Vreelandella stevensii
Lineage: Bacteria; Pseudomonadati; Pseudomonadota; Gammaproteobacteria; Oceanospirillales; Halomonadaceae
Description: partial 16S ribosomal RNA
Rfam family: Bacterial small subunit ribosomal RNA
Source: RNAcentral
CCUACGGGUGGCAGCAGUGGGGAAUAUUGGACAAUGGGGGCAACCCUGAUCCAGCCAUGCCGCGUGUGUGAAGAAGGCCCUCGGGUUGUAAAGCACUUUCAGUGAGGAAGAACGCCUGGUGGUUAAUACCCAUCAGGAAAGACAUCACUCACAGAAGAAGCACCGGCUAACUCCGUGCCAGCAGCCGCGGUAAUACGGAGGGUGCGAGCGUUAAUCGGAAUUACUGGGCGUAAAGCGAGCGUAGGUGGCUUGAUAAGCCGGUUGUGAAAGCCCCGGGUUCAACCUGGGAACGGCAUCCGGAACUGUCAAGCUAGAGUGCAGGAGAGGAAGGUAGAAUUCCCGGUGUAGCGGUGAAAUGCGUAGAGAUCGGGAGGAAUACCAGUGGCGAAGGCGGCCUUCUGGACUGACACUGACACUGAGGUGCGAAAGCGUGGGUAGCAAACAGGAUUAGAUACCCUAGUAGUC